RNAcentral lists this ribosomal RNA (253 nucleotides) under uncultured bacterium. RNAcentral describes it as "partial 16S ribosomal RNA". It matches the Rfam family "Bacterial small subunit ribosomal RNA", at positions 524 to 776 of the family's 1533-position model. The record is from RNAcentral.
UACGGAGGAUCCGAGCGUUAUCCGGAUUUACUGGGUGUAAAGGGAGCGUAGACGGCUUUGCAAGCCAGAUGUGAAAGCCCGGGGCUCAACCUCGGGACUGCAUUUGGAACUGUAUGGCUGGAGUGUCGGAGAGGCAGGCGGAAUUCCUAGUGUAGCGGUGAAAUGCGUAGAUAUUAGGAGGAACACCAGUGGCGAAGGCGGCUUACUGGACUGUAACUGACGUUGAGGCUCGAAGGCGUGGGGAUCAAACAGG